GCAGAAAAUUGAGGAGAAGUUGCGGAAGAUUAAAGAAAUUAAACAUUCUGCAAGGUUUAACAAAAAUGUCUUUGACAGAAGCAAUACGGAGCUACUUGAGCUCACAGAGGAAAAGCAUAAAGAAACAGAGAGACGAGGAGAAGAGCUCAUCAGAGAGCUUGAUGAAGAGAUUGUGGAGCUAAAGAAAAGACAAACUGAACUGGAGCAGCUCUCACAUCCAAUGGAUUUUACACAAAUUAUUAGCCUCUUGCGCAACCCCAUAUACACCAACCGCUCAAAAAACAUCAGCAUCGGUGCUUUUGAACAUGGAGGUAUUCUGAGGAAGACCAUAUCACAUCUUCAGAGUGUACUGGAUGAGAAAAUGAGAGAAACUGGUAAAUAUUCCCCAUGUAACCAAUCAUAUUUACACCAUCAUUCACUCUUUAAUCAGACAGAAAUGCAUUUUUUCAUUCUUGUUGUAGUUGGCAGAGAGCUGCGGAGUUUACAACAUUAUGCAGGUAUGGAAAAUCUGACUACUAAAAGAUACAUUUAGUACGUAAAAAAUUAAGUUAAAGUCUAAGGGCCCGUUCAUACUCUAGUCUAAGAUAUAACUAGGUAACAAUACAGCUAACUAUAUUAGCAUCCACACUAAUGAAAGAUAACUGUUUAUUAUAAGCAUGCGCUGCUGUUACAUCAUCUGCCGCUUUAAAUGCUCAAGUUCUUUAAAGCAGGAAUGAUUCUG
Molecule: long non-coding RNA, 721 nt
Organism: Cyprinus carpio (common carp)
Lineage: Eukaryota; Metazoa; Chordata; Actinopteri; Cypriniformes; Cyprinidae
Source: Ensembl